GACGAACGCUGGCGGCGUGCUUAACACAUGCAAGUCGAACGGAAAGGCCCUGCUUUUGUGGGGUGCUCGAGUGGCGAACGGGUGAGUAACACGUGAGUAACCUGCCCUUGACUUUGGGAUAACUUCAGGAAACUGGGGCUAAUACCGGAUAGGAGCUCCUGCUGCAUGGUGGGGGUUGGAAAGUUUCGGCGGUUGGGGAUGGACUCGCGGCUUAUCAGCUUGUUGGUGGGGUAGUGGCUUACCAAGGCUUUGACGGGUAGCCGGCCUGAGAGGGUGACCGGCCACAUUGGGACUGAGAUACGGCCCAGACUCCUACGGGAGGCAGCAGUGGGGAAUAUUGCACAAUGGGCGGAAGCCUGAUGCAGCAACGCCGCGUGCGGGAUGACGGCCUUUCGGGUUGUAAACCGCUUUUCGCCUGUGACGAAGCGUGAGUGACGGUAAUGGGUAAAGAAGCACCGGCUA
Molecule: ribosomal RNA, 462 nt
Filed under: Cutibacterium acnes
Lineage: Bacteria; Bacillati; Actinomycetota; Actinomycetes; Propionibacteriales; Propionibacteriaceae
Description: bacterial SSU rRNA
Rfam family: Bacterial small subunit ribosomal RNA
Source: RNAcentral